UUGCAGCAGAGGAGCAGAGACCUGGACCUCAGUUACAGGAAGGUCACUAAGCCUCGGGGCCCCAACGCACUCAGUAUCCUCCAGAAGCCUGCAACCAUCCCAGACCAGAAAGGAGCUCCAUGCCGCAAACAACUUCACCUCCAGCCUUACAUUGGAAAAUCCUCCUCCACUCCCAGGGGGGCAAGAAGGCUGAGACUGGCACCCUCCUUACAGGGCACGGUCCGCCUGACUAGCCAGACUGCCCACAAGGGGUAAAAGGGAAAGGCCCAGAGCCCUGCUUACAAGGAGGGCCCACGGCCAGCCAAAGGACACAGCUGUCCCCAGAGGCACAGUGACACCUGCACCCUGCUUACAGGGUGGUCCACAGCCCUGCAGAACCUAGCCCUUCACCGAGAGGCACGGGACUCACACCCUCGUUACAGGGCACGCCAGGGCUCCGGACAU
Gavialis gangeticus (Gharial) is the source of this 444-nucleotide long non-coding RNA. RefSeq lists it as uncharacterized. NCBI's taxonomy places the organism in Eukaryota, Metazoa, Chordata, Crocodylia, Gavialidae. The transcript is spliced from 3 exons. The record is from RefSeq and is a predicted model, not a curated record.